GACGAACGCUGGCGGCGUGCUUAACACAUGCAAGUCGAACGGAAAGGCCCUGCUUUUGUGGGUUGCUCGAGUGGCGAACGGGUGAGUAACACGUGAGUAACCUGCCCUUGACUUUGGGAUAACUUCAGGAAACUGGGGCUAAUACCGGAUAGGAGCUCCUGCUGCAUGGUGGGGGUUGGAAAGUUUCGGCGGUUGGGGAUGGACUCGCGGCUUAUCAGCUUGUUGGUGGGGUAGUGGCUUACCAAGGCUUUGACGGGUAGCCGGCCUGGGAGCGGGACCGGCCACCAGGCGCCUGCGAGACGCCCCAGACGGCAACGGGCGGCAGCAGGGGGGAACCUUGCAGAACGGGGGCAAGUCUGAUGUAGCAACGCUCCGUUCGGGAUGCCGGCCUUCGGGUGGUAAACAGAUUUGUCCGUUGCCGAAGACUGAGUGACGGUAACUGGUCAGGAAGCACCGGCUAACUACGUG
This 468-nucleotide ribosomal RNA is filed under the name uncultured bacterium. RNAcentral's name for it is "partial 16S ribosomal RNA". It matches the Rfam family "Bacterial small subunit ribosomal RNA", at positions 28 to 507 of the family's 1533-position model. The record is from RNAcentral.